This 301-nucleotide ribosomal RNA is filed under the name uncultured bacterium. RNAcentral's name for it is "partial 16S ribosomal RNA". It matches the Rfam family "Bacterial small subunit ribosomal RNA", at positions 509 to 807 of the family's 1533-position model. The record is from RNAcentral.
CAGUCGCCACGGGAAUACGUAGGGUGCAAGCGUUAAUCGGAAUUACUGGGCGUAAAGCGUGCGCAGGCGGUUUUGUAAGACAGAGGUGAAAUCCCCGGGCUCAACCUGGGAACUGCCUUUGUGACUGCAAGGCUAGAGUACGGCAGAGGGGGAUGGAAUUCCGCGUGUAGCAGUGAAAUGCGUAGAUAUGCGGAGGAAUACCGAUGGCGAAGGCAAUCCCCUGGGCCUGUACUGACGCUCAUGCACGAAAGCGUGGGGAGCAAACAGGAUUAGAUACCCGCGUAGUCCCUGUCUCUUAUAC